Ribosomal RNA from Clonorchis sinensis, 119 nucleotides. Lineage: Eukaryota; Metazoa; Platyhelminthes; Trematoda; Opisthorchiida; Opisthorchiidae. The record is from Rfam.
UAACGCGACCGUACCAUGCUGGAAACACCUGUUCUCAUCUGAUCACCGAGGUUAAGCAACGUUUGGCCCGAUUAGUACUUGCAAGGAUGAAUAGCUGGGAAUACCAGGUGUUGUAGCCA